AGGUUAGCCUGAGCUACAUACAAUAUGAGACCCUGUCUUAGAAGGAGAAGAAAACAGGAGAAUUCGAACCUACCCAUCUCAAGUACUUUUCAGAAAGAAGACAGGGAGGUUUGCCUUUAAGGGCUGAUACCCUAGUACCCGUGGCAAUUCUACGACAGUUGGAACCCACAGUUGGUUGGCACAGCUUGACUGGCACAGGUUGGAACUGAAACUAUAACAGGAGCCCCAAGAUGGUUGCCAGCAUGAGAGCAAGAGGUGUAGUGCCUCUGAUCCUGCAGAUGGGCAGAAGCUCCACAAAUUUCUACAAAGGGCAGACAAUGUGGCUUGUGAUCUCUUUCCUCUACCUUUCUGUCAUGUACAUAUCAGAAGUGCCCUGGCUUAAUAGAAAGACCGACUUUCAGUGCCAUGGGAACAUCUCUGAUGCCUGUUUGGCUGAGUGCUACAACCAACAUUUCUCCGUGUCUGUGAUAGGAGUUUGGAACACUGUUGGCUUGGUUGUCUACUCUAUCUUUUUUAUGAUGGAGUUUUCAGUCUUUCGGAAUUUAAAUAUAAGGUCAAAAUAUUCACAGCAACCCUUAGGGGAAGACCUAUCCAACUAUAUGUUCUUUUAUGAAAGUGGCGCAAAAAGGGAGGAGAUAAUUUCCAACUUGUCCAGGGAGAAGCUCUUGUUGUCUGUGUUCCUUACCUACUAUCUGCUUCAGAUGGCCAUACAAGGGGUCUUCCUGAUCAUCCUAUGGUACUAUCAACGAUCCCUGGUUAAGGAAGAUAUUUGGUGCCAGACAAUUAAGUGUCAAGGGCCAUACCUGUGUGUGUUUAUGGGGAUACAGGAGAAGUUAAUGUCCAUCACGCUUAUAACUAUUCUUUCUGUGAUAAUCAUAAUCUUCUGCAUUAUAUUCUUCCUGUAUACCAUUGGUCUAUACGCUCUCACGAGUGUAAUUCUGGUGAACACUAGAAUGAUUAAAUUCUAGCAGCUGUCUUGAUGAACACUGACCCAACCUAGAAUGGAAAUAAAACUGGACUAGUUUUGACUA
Long non-coding RNA from Mesocricetus auratus (golden hamster), 1031 nucleotides. RefSeq lists it as uncharacterized. The record is from RefSeq and is a predicted model, not a curated record. NCBI's taxonomy places the organism in Eukaryota, Metazoa, Chordata, Mammalia, Rodentia, Cricetidae. The transcript is spliced from 2 exons.